RNAcentral lists this ribosomal RNA (1355 nucleotides) under uncultured bacterium. RNAcentral's name for it is "bacterial SSU rRNA". It matches the Rfam family "Bacterial small subunit ribosomal RNA", at positions 28 to 1381 of the family's 1533-position model. The record is from RNAcentral.
AUUGAACGCUGGCGGCAGGCUUAACACAUGCAAGUCGAACGAUGACUCUCUAGCUUGCUAGAGAAGAUUAGUGGCGGACGGGUGAGUAACAUUUAGGAAUCUGCCUAGUAGUGGGGGAUAGCUCGGGGAAACUCGAAUUAAUACCGCAUACGACCUACGGGUGAAAGGGGGCGCAAGCUCUUGCUAUUAGAUGAGCCUAAAUCAGAUUAGCUAGUUGGUGGGGUAAAGGCCCACCAAGGCGACGAUCUGUAACUGGUCUGAGAGGAUGAUCAGUCACACCGGAACUGAGACACGGUCCGGACUCCUACGGGAGGCAGCAGUGGGGAAUAUUGGACAAUGGGGGCAACCCUGAUCCAGCCAUGCCGCGUGUGUGAAGAAGGCCUUUUGGUUGUAAAGCACUUUAAGCAGGGAGGAGAGGCUAAUGGUUAAUACCCAUUAGAUUAGACGUUACCUGCAGAAUAAGCACCGGCUAACUCUGUGCCAGCAGCCGCGGUAAUACAGAGGGUGCGAGCGUUAAUCGGAAUUACUGGGCGUAAAGCGAGUGUAGGUGGCUCAUUAAGUCACAUGUGAAAUCCCCGGGCUUAACCUGGGAACUGCAUGUGAUACUGGUGGUGCUAGAAUAUGUGAGAGGGAAGUAGAAUUCCAGGUGUAGCGGUGAAAUGCGUAGAGAUCUGGAGGAAUACCGAUGGCGAAGGCAGCUUCCUGGCAUAAUAUUGACACUGAGAUUCGAAAGCGUGGGCAGCAAACAGGAUUAGAUACCCUGGUAGUCCACGCCGUAAACGAUGUCUACUAGCCGUUGGGGUCCUUGAGACUUUAGUGGCGCAGUUAACGCGAUAAGUAGACCGCCUGGGGAGUACGGCCGCAAGGUUAAAACUCAAAUGAAUUGACGGGGGCCCGCACAAGCGGUGGAGCAUGUGGUUUAAUUCGAUGCAACGCGAAGAACCUUACCUGGUCUUGACAUAGUGAGAAUCCUGCAGAGAUGCGGGAGUGCCUUCGGGAAUUCACAUACAGGUGCUGCAUGGCUGUCGUCAGCUCGUGUCGUGAGAUGUUGGGUUAAGUCCCGCAACGAGCGCAACCCUUUUCCUUAUUUGCCAGCGGGUUAAGCCGGGAACUUUAAGGAUACUGCCAGUGACAAACUGGAGGAAGGCGGGGACGACGUCAAGUCAUCAUGGCCCUUACGACCAGGGCUACACACGUGCUACAAUGGUAGGUACAGAGGGUUGCUACACAGCGAUGUGAUGCUAAUCUCAAAAAGCCUAUCGUAGUCCGGAUUGGAGUCUGCAACUCGACUCCAUGAAGUCGGAAUCGCUAGUAAUCGCAGAUCAGAAUGCUGCGGUGAAUACGUUCCCGGGCCU